Molecule: ribosomal RNA, 977 nt
Filed under: Acinetobacter baumannii
Lineage: Bacteria; Pseudomonadati; Pseudomonadota; Gammaproteobacteria; Moraxellales; Moraxellaceae
Description: bacterial SSU rRNA
Rfam family: Bacterial small subunit ribosomal RNA
Source: RNAcentral
CGAGCGGGGCAGUUAGCUUGCUACUGGACCUAUCCGCGGACGGGUGCGUAAUGCUUAUGAAUCUGUCUAUUGCUGUUGGACCACAUCUCAAACGGGAUGCCAUUACCGCAUACCUCCUACGCGAUAAAGCAGGGUAUCUUCAUCCCUUGCGCCAAUCCAUGAUCCUACUUCUGAUUAGCUAAUUGGUGGGGUAAAGGCCUACCAAGGCGACGAUCUGUAGCGGGUCUGAUAGGAUGAUCCGCCACACUGGGACUGAGACACGGCCCAAACUAAUACGGGAGGCAGCAGUGGGGAAUAUUGGACAAUGGGGGGAACCCUGAUCCAGCCAUGCCGCGUGUGUGAAGAAGGCCUUAUGGUUGUAAAGCACUUUAAGCGAGGAGGAGGCUACUUUAGUUAAUACCUAGAGAUAGUGGACGUUACUCGCAGAAUAAGCACCGGCUAACUCUGUGCCAGCAGCCGCGGUAAUACAGAGGGUGCGAGCGUUAAUCGGAUUUACUGGGCGUAAAGCGUGCGUAGGCGGCUUAUUAAGUCGGAUGUGAAAUCCCCGAGCUUAACUUGGGAAUUGCAUUCGAUACUGGUGAGCUAGAGUAUGGGAGAGGAUGGUAGAAUUCCAGGUGUAGCGGUGAAAUGCGUAGAGAUCUGGAGGAAUACCGAUGGCGAAGGCAGCCAUCUGGCCUAAUACUGACGCUGAGGUACGAAAGCAUGGGGAGCAAACAGGAUUAGAUACCCUGGUAGUCCAUGCCGUAAACGAUGUCUACUAGCCGUUGGGGCCUUUGAGGCUUUAGUGGCGCAGCUAACGCGAUAAGUAGACCGCCUGGGGAGUACGGUCGCAAGACUAAAACUCAAAUGAAUUGACGGGGGCCCGCACAAGCGGUGGAGCAUGUGGUUUAAUUCGAUGCAACGCGAAGAACCUUACCUGGCCUUGACAUACUAGAAACUUUCCAGAGAUGGAUUGCUGCCUUCGGGAAUCUACAUAC